CUAACAAGGAUUCCCCUAGUAACUGCGAGUGAAGCGGGAAAAGCUCAAAUUUUGAAUCUGACGGUCGUAAAGGCCGUCCGAGUUGUAAUCUAGAGAAGCGUGUUCCGCGCUGGCCCGUGUACAAGUCUCCUGGAAGGGAGCGUCAUAGAGGGUGAGAAUCCCGUCUCUGACACGGACCACCAGUGCCAUGUGAUGCGCUCUCGACGAGUCGAGUUGUUUGGGAAUGCAGCUCAAAACGGGUGGUAAACUCCAUCUAAAGCUAAAUACUGGCGAGAGACCGAUAGCGAACAAGUACCGUGAGGGAAAGAUGAAAAGAACUUUGGAAAGAGAGUUAAACAGUACGUGAAAUUGCUGAAAGGGAAACGCUCGACGUCAGUCGCGUCGGCCAGGGAUCAACCUCGCGAGCGAUCGCUGGGCGCACUUCCUGGUCGACGGGUCAGCGUCAGUUUCGGUCGUCGUACAAGGGCGAGGGGAACGUGGCACUCUUCGGAGUGUGUUAUAGCCUUUCGUCGCAUGCGUCGGCAGGGACUGAGGAACUCGGCGC
This 544-nucleotide ribosomal RNA is filed under the name Boletellus areolatus. RNAcentral describes it as "partial large subunit ribosomal RNA". It matches the Rfam family "Eukaryotic large subunit ribosomal RNA", at positions 65 to 603 of the family's 3401-position model. The record is from RNAcentral. Lineage: Eukaryota; Fungi; Basidiomycota; Agaricomycetes; Boletales; Boletaceae.